GCCGCGGUAUUUUGACCGUGCGAAGGUAGCAUAAUCAUUAGUCUUUUAAUUGAAGGCUUGUAUGAAGGGUUGGACGAGAAAUAAGCUGUCUUUAUUGGAAAAAUAGAAUUUAACUUUUAAGUGAGAGGGCUUAAAUGUUCUAAAGGGACGAUAAGACCCUAUAAAGUUUGACAUUUUAUUCAUUAAAAAAUAAAAUAAUUAAUUAAUUUUUAUUAGUGGAGUAGUGUUUUGUUGGGGCGAUUAGAAUAUAAAAAAUUUAACUGUUUUAUAUUAAUACAAAGUUGUUUGAGUGUCUUGAUCUUUAAUAAAGGUAUUAGAGUAAAUUACUUUAGGGAUAACAGCGUAAUUUUUUUUGAGAGUUCUUAUCGACAAAAAAGUUUGCGACCUCGAUGUUGAAUUAAAGAAUUCUUUAUAGCGCAGAAGUUAUAAAAGAAGGUCUGUUCGACCUUUAAAUCUUUACAU
This 462-nucleotide ribosomal RNA is filed under the name Engaeus sericatus. RNAcentral describes it as "partial large subunit ribosomal RNA". It matches the Rfam family "Bacterial large subunit ribosomal RNA", at positions 1930 to 2601 of the family's 2925-position model. The record is from RNAcentral. Lineage: Eukaryota; Metazoa; Arthropoda; Malacostraca; Decapoda; Parastacidae.